AAAAUAAAAAUUUUUGUUUUUUCUAAAAAUUCUAGCGUUAACUUCAAAAUUUCUUGUUGUAUCAAUCUUGGUCGUAUUGGACACUAGGACACUUGGACAUUAAAAUGUAGCAUCCAAAUAAUUAUAACAAUUAAGUUUGUUAUAUAUAUUAUAUUUCUGUUGAUUUGAACACAUCUCACAUCAUCACAAAUUUUAAAAAUAAGGAGGCACCAUUCUAUCCAUCCGUGCCAAAAGAAUAGGAAAACUAUACCUCAAUUUUAAACCAUAUAUAAACUUUCAUAUAAACUAAGUUAAGAAAGAGCAUUUCGAUUUAAGAUUCUUUCUCUAUAAAAUUUCUUUACACUGGAUAAAAAUUUCCACAUAUUAUUAAAAUGGAGUGAAGUUAAGGAUACGUGUUGUUUCAUCAUUUAUUAUAAUAUUAGAAAGAUUAACUAAAACGAAAACUAUUAGAACUAUUAUGCUUUUAACCUUAUCAAAAUCUUAUAUCCACUUCUUUUUAAACUUUUUUCAAGGAGGCACCAUCCAAUCCAUCCGUGGCAAAAAAAUAUGUUAGGAAAACUAUGUCUCAAUUUUAAACCAUAUAUAAACUUUCAUAUAAACUAAGUUAAGAAAGAGAUUCUUUCUCUAUAAAAUUUCUUUACACUGGAUAAAAAUUUCCACAUAUUAUUAAAAUGGAGUGAAGUUAAGGAUACGUGUUGUUUCAUCAUUUAUUAUAAUAUUAGAAAGAUUAACUAAAACGAAAACUAUUAGAACUAUUAUGCUUUUAACCUUAUCAAAAUCUUAUAUCCACUUCUUUUUAAACUUUUUUCAAGGAGGCACCAUCCAAUCCAUCCGUGGCAAAAAAAUAUGUUAGGAAAACUAUGUCUCAAUUUUAAACCAUAUAUAAACUUUCAUAUAAACUAAGUUAAGAAAGAGAUUCUUUCUCUAUAAAAUUUCUUUACACUGGAUAAAAAUUUCCACAUAUUAAAAUGGAGUGAAGUUAAGGAUACGUGUUGUUUCAUUAUACACUACUAUAGAUAAUGAUUCCUUCGACUUCGUAAAUUUUUAUAAUACACAUUUCAUUUAUAAAAAUCUUACUAUAUAUCCUUAUCUUAUGCAAGUUGCUUUGGUUAACAGUACUAUAUUAAUGUAUAAUAUUAAUUAUUUAAUAAAAGACCAGACUUUUUUUGAAGAGAGUUUCUCUUUUGGUUAUCAACGGAUAUAAUGAAUGAUUGACUGGUGGAAGGAAGCACAUACAAUAUUUAAAAGCAAUUACAAUGAAAGCAUAUACCUAUAUACAUGUAUAUAUACAUGUGUGAAAAUUUAUAGUACAAAUCUAUAAUGAAAAAAUAACCCCAAAAGAAUUACUUUAAUUAAAACUCUCAAGUGGAUCAAAGUAAAUCUGUUGAAAUCAAUUAAGCAUAUCACUUAAGAUAUGUAUACCUGAUGAUUUUACAGGAUUUAUUUAAGCGAUCUUUUAUGGGAUCAUUACUUAAUUUGUGUUAAUUAACUAAUUAAUAUUAGUUUCAUUUGAUCAUGAUAAAAACUUUCUGAAAAAUAAAUUUA
Teleopsis dalmanni is the source of this 1545-nucleotide long non-coding RNA. RefSeq lists it as uncharacterized. Lineage: Eukaryota; Metazoa; Arthropoda; Insecta; Diptera; Diopsidae. The record is from RefSeq and is a predicted model, not a curated record. The transcript is spliced from 8 exons.